This 241-nucleotide unclassified non-coding RNA is filed under the name plant metagenome. RNAcentral's name for it is "partial contains small subunit ribosomal RNA, internal transcribed spacer 1, and 5.8S ribosomal RNA". The record is from RNAcentral.
UUUCCGUAGGUGAACCUGCGGAAGGAUCAUUCCCAAUAAGUGUUUUAUGUCACUUUUUGAACAAUCCAUAUCCACCUUGUGUGCAAAGGUAUGAGACCGUCUAUUGUUAUCUUUUAUGUUACAGAAUAGGUAACCGCUACAAGUUACCAACCUCAAUUUUAACUUAUUUGUCUGAACAUUUGUUAUCAUGAAUUAACUUAAUUCGAAAAUACAACUUUCAACAACGGAUCUCUUGGCUCUC